AAAUCCGUUUUGGCGGCCGAGGGACUAGAAUUCAUAUUUCGGUCGUCUGUCAGUAGAGCGCAACUGUUCAGUUA
This is a non-coding RNA of Caenorhabditis elegans, 74 nucleotides long. The record is from Ensembl. Lineage: Eukaryota; Metazoa; Nematoda; Chromadorea; Rhabditida; Rhabditidae.